Drosophila melanogaster (fruit fly) is the source of this 287-nucleotide non-coding RNA. Lineage: Eukaryota; Metazoa; Arthropoda; Insecta; Diptera; Drosophilidae. The record is from Ensembl.
AGAUAAACAAAGGGAACCGCACAAGUAAUACAAGGUAUUUCCUUAGCUUCGAUAAGAAAAUGUGAAAGUCACUGCCAUUGGGACUUCGAUUCGGGCCAAGGGACUGCCUCUUGGGCUACUGGAACAGCAGAAAAAAUUAAGGCUUUUGGAAACGUGCGGCACGUGAGCAAAUAAUCCAAUGGCUGGGUAAAUAAAUAGCUCUACCCCGGCCAUAAACGAUAACGUCAAGCAUUUGAUAACCUUACUCUUAUCAAUAUGUCCAACAUGCAAUAAACUCCAAAGAGAAC